RNAcentral lists this ribosomal RNA (494 nucleotides) under uncultured bacterium. RNAcentral describes it as "partial 16S ribosomal RNA". It matches the Rfam family "Bacterial small subunit ribosomal RNA", at positions 28 to 507 of the family's 1533-position model. The record is from RNAcentral.
GACGAACGCUGGCGGCGCGCUUAACACAUGCAAGUCGAACGGAAAGGCCUGCUUUCCCUUGUGGAUUGCGGGUACUCGAGUGGCGAACGGGUGAGUAACACGUGAGUGAUCUGCCCCCAACUUGGGUAUAAGCCUGGGAAACUGGGUCUAAUUCCCGAUAGGACUGCAGGGUGGUGCCUGUGGUGGAAAACGAUUUUCUAGUGGUUGGGGAUGAGCUCGCGGCCUAUCGGCUUGUUGGUGGGGUAAUGGCCUACCAAGGCGGCGACGGGUAGCCGGCCUGAGAGGGUGGACGGCCACAUUGGGACUGAGAUACGGCCCAGACUCCGACGGGAGGCAGCAGUGGGGAAUAUUGCACAAUGGGCGGAAGCCUGAUGCAGCGACGCCGCGUGGGGGAUGACGGCCUUCGGGUUGUAAACUCCUUUCGACCGCGAGGAAGCCACCUGGUUGGAAGGGUGGUGACGGUAGUGGUAGAAGAAGCACCGGCUAACUACGUG